RNAcentral lists this long non-coding RNA (11293 nucleotides) under Coffea arabica (coffee). Its description in RNAcentral is "long non-coding RNA (CARA_LNC005940)". Lineage: Eukaryota; Viridiplantae; Streptophyta; Magnoliopsida; Gentianales; Rubiaceae. The record is from RNAcentral.
AUAAUAGGAUGUAAGUGGAGGUGUGCAAAUGUAUUUACAAGUGUUUGUGUGCAAGUGAAGGGAUAAAAAGGUGCAUGUGUGCAAAUGACAAAAGUGAAAGUGUGCAAGUGAAGGGAUAAAAGGUGUACGUGUGCAAAUGGGAGGAAAAGUGAAAGUGUAAUGAUGGAGUGGAUUUAGAAUGCAUGGGCCUAGGGAAUGCAUGCAUAUUGGGUACGGGGAGACCUAAAUCGUGACUCAAUUUACCCUUUUAUAGAGGGAAUACAAGCGUGCUAAGGCUUAGAAAAAGCCACACUCGUCUAUAUCCCAUAUUUAAGGGGACUCUCAAGCAAAUGAACCCUAUAACUAGAAUGAAAUGCAAAAAUCCUAAAAUGAAAGGAAAAGGGGUUCGAGGGGCAUGCCAAAUGAUAAACUAAGAAAAAUGCAUGACAUGUAAUGAUCACGCAAAUAUGUACUAACGAAGGGAAAUCCCUAAGGGUCUAGCGUUGGACUAGCCCAUUCUAUGAAUUCCUACUAGCAUUGGACUAGCGGAAACGUACAUUCAUCCAUCACAUUCAUUCAAGGAUAUGGAAAGCGAGUAGACAUGUCAAUCACAUAGCACAUAACACUUAGCAUGCAUAUCUAAAUGCCAAAACCUAAGAAAACGAUUAAACAUAUAGCACAUAGACAUGCAUGACACAUAAGGUGAUUAAGGCCCUAACUAUUACAUUUGCUAGCUAGGCACAAGUCUUCAACAGCUCUUCAUCGAAUGCUCCUCCAAACCCUAUCUAUUACAAGCCAAGAGGUGUACACAUACCCCAUAAAGAAUAACUUAAAUAAAAAGCAAAAGUAAAUGACAUAAAUAAAAGAAAUUAAAGAAAGGCUAGGAAAGCAAAGUAGACAUGUAUAUCUCACGUAGCACGUUGGUUCACAUAGGAGAGACACAAAAAGGGAUAAAAGAAAAUAUACCACCCUUGAAAGGAAGCUCUAAUGGAGUGAAAUCAACUUAUUUAUCCUCCAAAAUAAAAGAAAUGGUCAAGGUACCAAUUUAUUUGGCAAAUAAUCACAAAGGAUAAAAAAUAAACAUGAAUUUGAAUCAAUUAAAUCAUGUCAACAACCCACAUUUAAGAAGUCAAAAGAAGAAAGGACUUGAUUGCACAAAUUAACAAAGUUUGGAGGUUAAAAUUAAAGAAAAAUAAAGUUCAGGGACCUAUUUGCAAUUAAAUUAAGGACCGAAUUGAAAGAAGUUAAAAAUGUCUAGGGCCACAGUACAGUUAAAGAGAAAUUCAGGGACUGAUUUGCAAAUGCAUUUUUCUAGUUUCUUAGUGGAUCAGGCCACUUGGGCCAUUUUAUCUAUUUUUGGGCCAAAGAUCCCUUCAGCCUGCCGCAAAGCCCAGAGGCUACAUAUGGGCUGGCUUCUACUUAUCAAUCAAACAAACCCAACCAAAAGAGUGCCAGAAACCCAAACAAAACAAAUUAAAUCCACUUUUACAAAUCCAAACAAAUAUUAUUGCCCACAACCUAAAUCCAAACUAAACCCAACAAGAUUAGCAAAUCAACUAAAAUUAUUAAGCCACAAUUAUGACCUAAAAUCAAGAAUUAAUCUAUUCAAAAAGUCACAUAAAAUAUGCAAACAAAAGAUUAAACUUAAGAGGGUAACGUUAGUUUCAAUUUUCCAGAUUUUGGGCCAUAUCAGAAUAAGGGGGGAACUUAGGGAAUCCAAAGUGCAAUUUCCAGAGAGUUACAAUUUUUACAGCCAAACAAUCUUUCUGCAACGUCACAACUUUCUUGCUGCAGUUUUCUUAGGCAAUCUUAUCAUACAAACAAAAUCACUAAAAACCCAAGGUUUUGACUAUGCAAGCACCAACUAAAUCAAACACAAAAAUUUUGUUGCGGUACUCAGGCAAGAAACUUGAAUUGACCGACAGAAGUGCAGCAGAAAAAUUCUCUGCAACUUUUCUCAUGCUUUUGAGCUUCAACAAUUUCGCGUGGCAGAUUUACAAACCUCCCAAACCAAAACCCAAGCCCAAACUAUUACCAAUCAUUGUUUCAAUAUUCUAUCAUACAUGCGAGAGGAUGGCAGAACCAAGAAUAAAUUGAGUGCCAUAGCUUGGGCAGCAACUACAACAAAGCACGGCACCCUGGAGGAGCUAAAGGUUUUAAGGAGAAAUUUUAGUCGGGCAUUUUAUCAAACGGGUUAGGGGCAUCAGAAGAUUUCGCCAAUUCCUUGCUCAAUUGAAGUUAAUCAAUCCCCAAAAUUUAUCAGAGAACACAGAUUGCAUUCCAAUCAACCAUGAAAACACAUACGAUCAGAAAAUUAUAGACAAUCCCCAGGAAAAUGGCAAUAACAAAUUCACAAGAGACAUGCCUGGGAUUUCCAGCGUUUGCAAGUGCUCUUGUUUCGGUGAAAAUCUGCAGGCAAUGACGGCGGAAUCGGUGAGGUGGUCGCGGCUAUGAGCGGCGACGGAUCCAGCAGCGCUUCAAAUGAGCAGACCUUGCUCUGUUUCAUUACAGCUCUUCCUUCUCCUCUGUUUUCUUUCUCUUUUUUUUUUCAGUUUCUUUUUCUGCUCUUCGCUUAGCCCAAAACCUUUAGUUUCUUUGCAGCCCCCUUUUCUCAGCUCUCCCCGUAGCUUCAACCUCUGGUUUUUUCUUCCUCCGCCGCCACAGAUUUUCAGAUUUCUUCUUGCGCUCUGUUUUUUCUCUCUCGGUCUCCCCCAACCGCCAUAAGCCUCCCCUGCUGUUUUCUUUUCUAUCCUCUGUUUUUGCUCAGCCGAAAAACCCCUCUCGGCCUUUCUCUUCUGUUUUCGGUCCCUCUCAAAGCUGUCCCGGUUAAUCCUUCUUGCGUUUUUUCGAUUCCUCUGUUCUCCGCCGAAAACCUUCCCCAUUUUCUUGCUCUCUAUUCUUUCUCUUUUCCUCUUUUCCCGCUGCUCUGUUUUUUUCUUGUUUUUUCUUGGCUCUGCAGCCGCUUGCGGCUCUCUAUUUUUUUUCUGUUCUGCUUCCCGAAGCCUUUACUUUUUUUCUGUUUUUUUUUUCAUUUUCCUGUUUUUUCCGUAACCUCCCUAGCCGGCCAUCCCCAAUCCUUUUCCCCUUUUUUUUUUUUUUUUAAUUCCUUUCUUCUAAGUGACUAAGCACUUUGCCACCUAUGUGAUGUGUUGUUAAAAAACUAAAAGUGACAUUUGCCUCCAUGCAUGCCUAUCCACUUGUCAUUUUUUCCUUUUUUUCCUUUUUCCUCUUUUCCCUUUUUCCUUUUGUUUUUCCAUUUUCAUCAUUUUUCAUUUUCAUUCAUUUUUCCUUUUUUUUUCAAUAUUGAAUUUUGAGUCAAAAAUAAUUAAAGCAUGUUCUUUUUGAAUUUUCCUCAUUUUCCCAAGAAAUUUGAUGCUAAAACAAAAAACUAAAAAUAAAAAAGUGAAUAAAACUAAAACAACAAAUAAAAAACUAAAAAAACAGUAAAUGAAAUUACACCAAAAAUUUGGUGUCUACAGUUUGCCUCUCUUUGUCUGAGUUUUGAAAAAACUUGAGACAAAGAAGUAGACACCAAAUACUUACCUGUGUUAUUCGGCUGCGAACGAUCCGGACGACGGACGCUUCUGAAACGAAGACUGACCUCUUUUAAAUUUUUUUUUUUUUGAAUGAAAACUUUAAAAUGGGAUUGAUCCAGACGGGAAAUUUAAAACGGGACUGGCCCGAACAGGAAUUUAAAACGAGAUAGACCCGAACAUGAAAUCUAAAACGGGAUAGACCCGGACAGAAAUUUAAAUGGGAUAGACCCACGGGAUAGACCCGGACAGAAAUGUAAAUGGGAUAGACCCAAACAGAAAAUUUAAAACGGGAUAGACCCGGACAGAAAUUUAAAACGGGAUAGACCCGGACAGAAAUUUAAAUGGGAUAGACCCGGACAGAAAUGUAAAUGGGAUAGACCCAAACAGAAAAUUUAAAACGGGAUAGACCCGGACAGAAAAUGCAAACGGGAUAGACCUGAACAGGAAACUUAAAACGGGAUAGACCCGAGCCUGCAAUGAUGAACAUGAUUUGAUUUUUGACUUUGAUUUUUUUUUAUUUUUGAUUUUGAUUUUUUUAUUUUUAUUUUGAUUUUGACUUUUUGAUUUUUUUUUUUUUUUUUUUUUGACUGAGAGAGACUUGUCGAAAUAACUUGCCCCAGUAUAAUGAAUUGGCCAGUGGGAUUAAACCCGAGCCUGCCAAGGUUGGCGGGAUAAAAUCCGGUCCCAACGAAAUAAGCGGUCAGCGGGAUAAAACCCGGUCCUGCCGAGGAAAUUGGCGGGAUGAAACCCGGUCCCAAUGCGAUAAACGGUCAGCGGGAUUAGACUCGGUCCUGCCGAGGUAAGCGGUCAGCGGGAUAAAACCCGGUCCUGCCGAAAUAAGCGGUCAGCGGGAUAAAACCCGGUCCUGCCGUAAUAAGCGGAUAAAACCCGGUCCUGCCGUAAUAAGCGGUCAGCGGGAUAAAACCCGGUCCUGCCGUAAUAAGCGGUCAGCGGGAUAGAACCCGGUCCUGCCAUUCAUUGGCGGGAUGAAACCUGGUCCCAAUUUGAUAAAAGCGGUCAGCGGGAUUAUACCCGGUCCUGCCGUGAUUGGCGGGAUGAAACCCGAUCCCAAUUUGAUAAAAGCGGUCAGCGGGAUUAAACCCGGUCCUGCCGUGAUUGGCGGGAUGAAACCCGGUCCCAAUUUGACAAAAGCGGUCAGCGGGAUUAUACCCGGUCCUGCCAUAAAAGCGGUCAGCGGGAUUAUACCCGGUCCUGCCGUGAUUGGCGGGAUGAAACCCGGUCCCAAUUUGAUAAAAGCGGUCAGCGGGAUUAUACCCGGUCCUGCCGUGAUUGGCGGGAUGAAACCCGGUCCCAAUUUGAUAAAAGCGGUCAGCGGGAUUAAACCCGGUCCUGCCGAGGUAAGCUUGAUUUGAUUUUGAUUUUGACUCUUUUCUUUUUUUUCCUGAUUUUUCUGAUUUUUUUGUAAGAAUCUUUUCAAAAAUAAUUUGCCCCAGUGUAGGGCCCUUUUCCCUUCUUUUUCUCUUUCUUCGGCAUCGGCCUUCCACGUCACCAGAUGCUCUUUCGUCGAUUUCAACAAUGGAUACCGGCACAGGGGCUUACCGAAAUAUGACAUGCAUUCACAUUUACAUGAAAAGAGCAGCGUGAUGGAUUUGAAAGAUGCAUUAUUUGAUUCUUGGACGAAAUUCUCAAUUGGACUAACAAAAAUAUUUGCCCCUGUGUGGGCUUGUUUUCACGAAAUCUCAUAACAAAAAUUUGCCCCAGUAUGGGCCAUUUAAUUGCCAAACUUGUUUGGAUGACUUUUCAUUUACUGAACAUAGUAAGAAACUAUGUUUCCAAAAAGAAAAAUUUCAUGAUGAAUUUCUUGAAAUAAAACCAAAUCACAGAGGAUUUCUUCCUCAUUUUUAGCAUCUGUGCUUUGGGUAAUGGGUCACCAUUUCCAAUUGGCUCAUCUUUUCGGGACCAAUCAAGUGACUGUAUUUUUGAAAUGGCUAAGGAAAUGGGAAGUCAGAAUUUGUCUCAUUUUUGUGCCCCAGUUGUAUGUAAUCCAUCAAAUGUCACAUCUUAGUGAAAGCAAAUAGUUUGUCACCCUCAUUUCUUAAGAAAACGUAGUCAACAUGCAAGCUUCUAGGCUUGUAACGUAUGGACAGAAGUGAUAGCUAAACAUGUGGAAAAGGGUUAUACCCUUAUGAUCACAAAUGAUUUGAUGAAUUUCUUAUGAGCAUGAUCCUCCCUUUGGAUUGUCAUGAAGGCAUAAGUCAACGAUGGACUUUGUUAGCUUGUAAUGUGGCUUGAAAGCGAUAGCUAAAGAAUAAAACUUUCAAGGACAUAGCUCCGAAGAUUGCAUUGCCCCUAUUUUGAACUCGAAGAUUCUGAACUUUGUUUGGAUUUUCUUAUCAUUCCCCAGGGACCUCAGCGUCGAAUUUUUCUGCAUUUUUCUUGCAUUUACUUUCCUUGCUUUGCUUUUUGUCUUUUUUCCUUUCCCUCAACUUGGUGGAUUUUCAUAUGGUGAGUAGCGCCAACCCCAUACCCAAACAAUUCAGAAAUACAGCUAAAAUUUUUGGCAUCAGAAAUUUUCUUGACAGGGCCAUUGCAAAGAACAGAAGUCAGGAUUUUUCAGCUUUUGUAAUGAGGUCAGGUGGGGUGUUUUAGAAAAGUUGAGGCUUGAAGGCAGAUUUUAAAAAGGUUUGAAGAAUCUGAGAUCGCAUUGUUGCGCCAACCCUAUUUUAGGGUUAAAUCAGAAUUUGCCCCAGUUUAUGCUCAAUUGAGGCUUUUUCUCUUUCAUUUUCUUUUGAUUUUUCGGCCUUUUGCCAUUUUUUCAAAAAUUUGCCCUAGUUUAUUUUUGAACUGAGGUUCUCUUUCCUUCUUUUGCUUUUGAUUUUGUGACUUUUCACUUUUUCACUUCUUGAAUUUUCCCUUUUCAACUCAAAACUGCCCCCAGUGUGGGGUUUGCGAUUCUCAGGGGUUGCCAAAUGAAGUAUUUUAUUCUGAAGGCUCAAAAGGGAUAAGUAGGGAUAGAAUGUCCGAUUGGAAAAGAAGAGGGCCUGACUUUUAUUCCGUUCCUUACAAUAACUCUGAAAGGAAACUUUCAUUAAUGCGAAAUUUUUGGCGUGUAUCUGAAUUAAUUGACUGAGGAAGACUCUUGGUCAACCAUAUCUGUGAAACAUAGAGGAUCCGCCAGACAACUUUUCUUUCUUUUCUUUUCACUCUUCUUUUCUCACAAUUGAAGCUCAGGUAGAAUCAAAUUUCCCCAAUUUGCGGUUCCCCCUUUUUAGUUUUAGCAUUUUUUGCUUUUCUUUUUUUUUGGAAAAAUCUCCAAUCUCCCUCCCCAAUGUGGGGUGCGAUCAUAGGUGCUUUGAAAAGAACCACCGAUUUAGCUCAAAUGAGAAUGCAAGGGGUAAAUUGUGUUUAGAUUGUAGAAACGACGGCUAAAGCAUCAUUCUUACGCUCCAUGACAAUUAAGGUGACGAAACGCUCAUUGAGAAUCCAUUCCCCUUUUGAUAUUUGAAAAUUUUCCAUGUAGGGUAGUGAUCAUCAAGGCGCUUAUUUGAAACGAAAUUAUUCUUUUAAAGGCUCAAACGGGAGAGCAAAUGAUAAACUCUGUAUAGAUAGAGAAAAGACUGCUCAAAGUAUCAUUCCAACUUUUCAAAACAAAUAAAAAUAAUGCACAUUUUUGCUUUCACUUAGAUGUGAAUUGAAUCGGUUAAACACAAUGGAUAUUUUUAAGCAAAGAUUGCCCCAAUUUAUGAUUUAUCAAUCAAUGUGACUGAUUUUAUUUUGGGGUUAAAUGAAGGAGAAAAGGUAUCUCAUUGGGCCUUUCGAGUGACCUCUUACUUUUUCCUGAGCACUCUUAUUGUAUAACUCGGAUCACCAAUCGAGUGUAAGGAUCUUAGGAAGCAUUCACUUGUGAAUUUUCAGGCUGGAGAUUAAAAAUAUCUCAAUUUGGUCUUUUUUCUCAAAAUUCAUCAUGAAAUCUCCAAUGAGUAAGAAUAAAGAAUGAAAUGUACAUAAAUAUACACAAAACAAUAAUUGUCCAAAAACUUUAUUGCUGAAAAACAAUUUGAAACAAAAUUUCUCGUUCAAUUAUGAUACAAAUGAGAAGAGAAUUUAUUGUUUCCUUUUCUUUUGGAACAAAAUUUAACAAAUCAAAUAGACAGAACAAUUACGACAUCUCUCAGAGCCUUUAGCGUAGAGCUUCCAGAUGGAUCAUUUAUGUUUUAAUCGUAGGAUCUGCCCAAGAAUCAAAUAACACUUGUAAUCUUCAAACUUUAUGGGAUUAAAAUUAGCAUCAGAUAUAGAAGAAUAUUUUCGUCUUAUUGAAACAUUUUUAUGAAUGCAGGGGAGGGGGAAAACAAAAGAAAAAUACCCAGAGUUAGUAGGCAAAACUGCAAAAUCGGUAUGCAUGUCCUAUGGGGGAACUCUUUUUGUGCCAAGGGUAGGCCUAGCAUGAAAAUGCAAUCCGCUAGAGUAGGCACUAUACAAUACCUGAUGGAUCUGAUCAAUUCAUUGAGUGAAAAAAUAAUUUUGAAGAAUUUGGUCAAUUGGAGAGACGAAAGACACUUUGUCAAAAAGAGGACCUCGUCCGAAGGGAUUGAUCACUUUUGAUCGAUAUUUGCAAAAACGCACGGGUUUGACCUUGACGAACUUCCUAUCGAAGAGAUUGGAAUUCCUUGAUAAAAUUUUCUCAGUGAAGCACGGGUCAAAAUUCCAACUGAUCAAAUGUCUGGAUGCAAUGAAUGGUUUUCUCAAAACCGACUAGGUUUCCAAAUUGAAAUUCGUCAUUGAAACCCUACUUGGUCAAAUGGGUUGAACGAAAUUGACAAUUUUAUUUAAAAUCGACCGCAUUACCUUAAAAAGGGAAUCGGGUCAAAUGAAUUGAGUGAAAUUUAAAAACUUACUCAAAAUUGACCGAAUCAUUCUAAAAAAGGGAUUUGGUCAAAUGAAAUCGAGAAUUUAUUCAAAAUUGACCGGAUCGCCCUAAAAGGGUAAACUGGUCAAACGAAUCGGACGAAAUUAAUGAUUUACUCGAAAUCGAUAAGAUCGCCCUAAGAAUGGAAAAAUUGGUGAUUUAUUCAGAAAAUCGACUAGAUUGCCCUAAAAAUGGGUGAAUUGGCCAAAUGAAAUGAAAUGAAGAUUUAUUCAUAAAUCGACCAGAUGACCCUAAAAAGGGUAAAUUGGUCAAAUGACCCUAAAAAGCGUAAAUUGGUCAAAUGAAUUGACGAUUUAUUCAAAAUCGACCAGGUGACCCUAAAAAGGGUAAAUUGUCAAAUGAAUGGAUGAUUUUUUCAAAAAUGCAUGACCUAAAAAGGGUAAAAAUGAAUUGAUGAUUUAUUCAAAAAUCGACCAGGUGACCUAAAAAGGGUAAAUUGAUCAAAUGAAUUGACGAUUUAUUCAAAAUUGCUUAUAAUUUGACAAAAUGGAUCGAUUGAAUCGGCCGGCCAUUGGUGGUUUCAGAAAAUUAGUCUAUGAGCCUUCUACAAUCACGAUUUGGCCUCAAUUUAUUCAUCGUCUCAACAAGAGGAAUCAUUUGUGAAUUUCUUCAAAUUAAUGUCCUUUUACGCAAGGGAUUUUACCAACUUUGAUAAAAUGGCCAAAAAGUGAUUAUUAGACGUGCUCAUAUUCCAAAGAUCACUCUAUGAAAAUGAUCGGAUCCUACCUUACCUUGUGCACUACCCCUUUGGAUGGUAUAAAAUGUAAACGUGCAAGUCUCACUGGAUUAAGUAUCCGAGACACAAAAGUGGCUUAUUCCUAAUGCGGGAUCCCCUAAAUGGCAUUCCCUUUCUAGGGUUAUGCAUGAUGCCAUUUAUUAAAGCGGUAAAAUGUGCAAUUCGAAAUGAAACGUGACCUAAAAGAACCUUUUAUACACCAAGGUGGGCUUAGAAUGCUAUGCAAUUAUUAAUCUAUGAAUGCAAUAUACCAAAAUCUUUAAACGUGCAAUAACCUAUCUACGAGGGUAGGUUCCUAAAAAAAAGUCAUGCCAGACCUCUUAUUUGCUAGGGUUGUGAAUGCAAAAAACAAGAAACAAGAAAAGUUAGUUCCACAUUUAAUCACAUAACACGUUGGACAAUUAAAUGAUAAAAAACAGGAAAAGUAAAUAAGGAAAAGGAUGGGAUCCCUCCCCUCGUGAAUGGUGUCCCUAAUAGGGUAAGGCAGACUCUACCCUAGGUGAACUAUAUGGAUGCAUGAGGUUGGGGUUCACUAAUGAAUCUAACUCGAUAAGCUCAAGUCCCCAAGCCUUCAGACUUAGGGCCAAGGGUCAUCAAUUCCAUGGCCCUUUGUCGGUGGCUCGAGCGAUUCCCCAAACACCGCUACGCACACGUCGUGUCACGGCCGCAUGUUUGAGUGAAUCUGUAAAAAACCUCAACCUUCGACUAAAAACUAAGGAUAUUAACCCAAAGUUUAAAGCGGAAGAGUGAGUGACCCAUUGGAUCGUGCUACGCACACGUCGUGUCACGAUCACACGUCCAAGUGGGUCUCCUAAUCCUAAUAGGGUGGAGUGGCGUGACAAGCCACUAAAAAGAAAAAUAAAGGGGGAUGAAUAGUAAAGCGUAUGCACGUAUGAUAGUGCACAUUUUGGAGGGGAGGGAUCAAGAACCAACGCGAGGCUCUAAGGUAGAAUCCCCUCCCAAAUGCAAUGCAAAGCGCGGAAUCACAUACAAACAUCCAUUCAUCAAAACAAUCGUAGGCGAACGUGUGAGGAAGUGAAUUGAUACGCGAAAUGCAAAAAAUCCUAGAAAAGGGAAAAAUGCAACCCUAAACAUCCAAUGUAAUAAAUAAAAAGGUUUAAAAGAAGAAAAAGAUUGAUUAAAUCAAAUUUGCUCGGACUCUCGAAUGUCCCCAGUGGAGUAGCCAACUGUCGCGCCCCAUUUUUUUGAUAAAUAAAUAAAAUGGUUUGAAAAUGUGUUUUUUUGAUUCAAUUUGUGAUUUGAAAAAUGAAUUGUGAUUUAAAAGAAAGAUGGGUCUAAAUGGGACUUUUGAAAAUGCGACGAUUUGACCCAAGAAAAAUAGUUCAAAAAGGGUUUUUUAUAUGAAAAAUGGAGUCGCCACUUGGUAUAGAGUUAGGGUGUACCAAGUCACCCAAAAAAUGAAUUUUUAAGAAAAAUAGGAAAAAGUAGUAAAAAAAACCCCUUUUAAACGACUCCUAGUCCACGCAAACAAAGAAAAAGGUUUGGGAGUCACAUUUGACGAAGGGGAAGGCAAGGAUAAAAAUCCAAGGCACCCCUUCGACCUAGCCAAGGCUAGUUGCGUUGAUUUAAUCAAAGAUUUUCUUGUUUUAACCAAAGAAUUUAUUACAUUUGGAUGCACUACAUGAAUGCCAACCCUAGACCUAGAGGUAUUGGGGGAAAUUUCUCUUCAAAGGUUAGGUGGUGCCAAUCACAUUAAUUGUGAAACCCAAUAACGAUCCUUUGAAGAAGUCACGAAUAAUGCGAGUGGGAUGCAAAUGAAUGGAAUGCAUGUAUGCAAUGUGAAGGUAUGUGAAGUGAGAAAAAUAAUAAAAAUAAUAGGAUGUAAGUGGAGGUGUGCAAAUGUAUUUACAAGUGUUUGUGUGCAAGCGAAGGGAUAAAAAGGUGCAUGUGUGCAAAUGACAAAAGUGAAAGUGUGCAAGUGAAGGGAUAAAAGGUGUACGUGUGCAAAUGGGAGGAAAAGUGAAAGUGUAAUGAUGGAGUGGAUUUAGAAUGCAUGGGUCUAGGGAAUGCAUGCAUAUUGGGUACGGGGAGACCUAAAUCGUGACUCAAUUUACCCUUUUGUAGAGGGAAUACAAGCGUGCUAAGGCUUAGAAAAAGCCACACUCGUCUAUAUCCCAUAUUUAAGGGGACUCU